This 24-nucleotide non-coding RNA is filed under the name Arabidopsis thaliana (thale cress). Lineage: Eukaryota; Viridiplantae; Streptophyta; Magnoliopsida; Brassicales; Brassicaceae. The record is from RNAcentral.
CGAACGUACCACCUUGGGCGCCUU